RNAcentral lists this transfer RNA (65 nucleotides) under Duplodicodrilus acinctus. RNAcentral's name for it is "tRNA-Cys". The record is from RNAcentral. Lineage: Eukaryota; Metazoa; Annelida; Clitellata; Crassiclitellata; Megascolecidae.
GGCACCAUAGUUGAACAACAACAUUAAACUGCAGAUUUAAAAGAGUACUAAUGAUACUGGUGCCU